This 432-nucleotide ribosomal RNA is filed under the name uncultured bacterium. RNAcentral describes it as "partial 16S ribosomal RNA". It matches the Rfam family "Bacterial small subunit ribosomal RNA", at positions 29 to 506 of the family's 1533-position model. The record is from RNAcentral.
AACGAACGCUGGCGGCAUGCCUAACACAUGCAAGUCGAACGAGACCUUCGGGUCUAGUGGCGCACGGGUGCGUAACGCGUGGGAACCUGCCCUUAGGUUCGGAAUAACUCCCCGAAAGGGGUGCUAAUACCGGAUAAUGUCUUCGGACCAAAGAUUUAUCGCCUUUGGAUGGGCCCGCGUUGGAUUAGCUAGUUGGUAGGGUAAAAGCCUACCAAGGUGACGAUCCAUAGCUGGUCUGAGAGGAUGAUCAGCCACACUGGGACUGAGACACGGCCCAGACCCCUACGGGGGGAAGCAGGGGGGAAUAUUGGACAGUGGGCGAAAGCCUGAUCCCCCAAUGCCGGGUGGGUGAUGAAGGCCUUAGGGUUGUAAAGCUUUUUUACCCGGGAUGAAAAUGACAGUACCGGGAAAAAAACCCCCGGCAACCCCCGU